RNAcentral lists this ribosomal RNA (518 nucleotides) under uncultured bacterium. Its description in RNAcentral is "partial 16S ribosomal RNA". It matches the Rfam family "Bacterial small subunit ribosomal RNA", at positions 355 to 866 of the family's 1533-position model. The record is from RNAcentral.
UGGGGAAUUUUGGACAAUGGGCGCAAGCCUGAUCCAGCCAUGCCGCGUGCGGGAAGAAGGCCUUCGGGUUGUAAACCGCUUUUGUCAGGGAAGAAAUCUUCUGAGUUAAUACCUCGGGAGGAUGACGGUACCUGAAGAAUAAGCACCGGCUAACUACGUGCCAGCAGCCGCGGUAAUACGUAGGGUGCAAGCGUUAAUCGGAAUUACUGGGCGUAAAGCGUGCGCAGGCGGUUUUGUAAGACAGAGGUGAAAUCCCCGGGCUCAACCUGGGAACUGCCUUUGUGACUGCAAGGCUUGAGUGCGGCAGAGGGGGAUGGAAUUCCGCGUGUAGCAGUGAAAUGCGUAGAUAUGCGGAGGAACACCGAUGGCGAAGGCAAUCCCCUGGGCCUGCACUGACGCUCAUGCACGAAAGCGUGGGGAGCAAACGGGAUUAGAUACCCUGGUAGUCCACGCCCUAAACGAUGUCAACUGGUUGUUGGGAAGGUUCCUUCUCAGUAACGUAGCUAACGCGUGAAGUU